This 207-nucleotide ribosomal RNA is filed under the name uncultured bacterium. RNAcentral describes it as "partial 16S ribosomal RNA". It matches the Rfam family "Bacterial small subunit ribosomal RNA", at positions 568 to 774 of the family's 1533-position model. The record is from RNAcentral.
UGCGUAGGCGGCGGAGUAAGUUGGGUGUGAAAUCCCGGGGCUUAACCUCGGAAUGGCAUUCAAUACUGCUUCGCUCGAGUACUGGAGAGGAGGCUGGAAUUUACGGUGUAGCAGUGAAAUGCGUAGAUAUCGUAAGGAAGGCCGGUGGCGAAAGCGAGCCUCUGGACAGUUACUGACGCUGAUGCACGAAGGGCCAGGGAGCAAACG